GGUAGCAUAAAAAUGGUACUGGAAACUGAAAGCCAAGAAAUCAGAAAAUGUCUGGUGGAGAAUAAUCAGGUUUUCUGAGUCACUAAUGUUAUUCGUGUUAUUGUGGCAGCCUGCAGUUUGAGACUUACAAUCACCACCUUUACAGAAAUCAAGGAGUCAGAUUCCUCCGUGUACAAAGUCUGAGGGCAAUCCUGCUUCUUUACUUCUGCCUUAAGAGACUCUUUAGCCUUCUGCACUUCUAUUCAGCCUGGUCUUCACAAGAAGUCCCAACUAGUUCUGUUCUCAUAGAGUUCUUUCUUUGGGGCCUGAUACCUGAAGACUGAGUUAUCUCUGUUGACAGUGUGUCACAACCACCAUCCAACUCAGCAGCCUGAAGUUGCUGAUAUCUGUCAGGGUGGUUUGGAAAUAUGAAGAGACAGUCCAGUGAUCAUGGAAAACGUGUGGUCAGAGAGAUCGGGAAGACCUAGCAGAAACAGGAAUGCUGUGUUCCAGGAUGUGCUUUGUCCUGGGACAGAGGAAAACUGUGGAGCAACAUUUUAGGGAUUUUGCUGUCCCUGGACAAAAGAAGUUUGGAUAAGUUUAUUAAGACAGUGUCUCUCCUGUGGCCUAGUAUAUAUCCUUCAGCACCCCCGAGGGUUCAGAGAAAUCAUAUUUACUUUUCAGAGUUACCACAUUUCCCCCCUCCCCUUUCUGAUGUGAACAGCAAGGUAUGUGAGGGCUUACUGGGAUCACUCCUUCCGCUGUGAUUUGCAGGACUAGUAAUGAGCUACUCUGUAUGAAAUGUGGUGUUGGAAAUAUGCAACUUCUGUGAUGAUAUAAACCCAAGGUUUAUUUCUUACUGCUUGUGUCUUCAACAGAUUGAAGCAAGUGACAUUUUAUUUUUAGAGGUGUACUGCUCUACUGCAGCUCUUUUGAAGUAGCGUUGAUGGUUUUCUUUCAUAGUUGCUGAAUAUGAGCACCUUUACAUUUAAGAAUGUGAUGUUCUGGUUUUGCAUUCUAAUAACAACUUUCAAAAUCUUUAGAGUUGUUUAGUUUAGUAGUACGUGCCUUUGUAAUCAGGCUCUGUGUGCCAUACCUUUUGAAAUAAAUUGCCUGAAGAGUUUUAAUAAAAUAAAACAGCCUGAAGGUAAUUGAUUUGCUGCAGGCUGGAGCAGGCCCAGUUAAUCUCAAUGGUCGAGUCAUCCCACAGCAACCAUUUCCACCUUAAUAAUCUCAAGCCUUCAAGUUCCUAAGUGUUCCAUGACUCUUGAUUUUGGCAAAAAUUGAAAAUAGGUUUCAGGAGUUAAAAAUCAGCAGGACAUAUCAUAUUGCUCUUUUUUCUAUGCCAGUUACACACGGAACUCCUUAACUAUCUGGAGCCUGUACAUUUCAAACACUCAGCCAGCAACAAUAGACUCCUUUGGUUACUAAAUUCAUGUCAAGGCUGCGUGAUAAAAAUCAAAUAUGAAAAAGAGCAGAUUGUGGAACUUUUUCUCUUGGAAAGCAGGUGGGAAAAUAGUAUGUAGUCUUCAAACAUUCAAACACUGUUCCUUUUAUGUUUUCAUUUAUAUUUAGUAUAUAAUAAGCACAGAUAAAUGUUUCGUGAAAUAUUAAACUGCUGCAGGUAAUUCACGUUGGAAGAAGGACCUGCGUGCUCAGGAGACUGGCUGGUUUAUGUAGCUAUAUAAGCUGGUCAAAUGGAAAAUGCUAUUCCUUCCUUGCUUGUUUUUGGACAUCAGUGUAACACAUGCCCUUUGCAACUAUCUCCCCAAAGCAUCUGGGGCUAGAAGGAUGAUUUUCCCUCAAUAAGCAAAGAAAUGUGGAGCCAAGAGUACCUGUAACACACAGGCUGUCAGUCCCACAGACUUGUUUUAUCCGACUAUACCAGCUUGUAUCUUUAUCCUCUAUUCUGGUAACAGCCUUCCUACUACCACAACGACAGCAAAGGCCGACCUGUUCUCAUAUGUUUGUUACCUUGGCAGCUGAAUUUGGACCAAAAUUACCUUCCUGUGCUAACAA
Long non-coding RNA from Athene cunicularia (burrowing owl), 1998 nucleotides. RefSeq lists it as uncharacterized. The transcript is spliced from 3 exons. The record is from RefSeq and is a predicted model, not a curated record. Lineage: Eukaryota; Metazoa; Chordata; Aves; Strigiformes; Strigidae.